GACUUUGUUGAAGCUGACUUGCCAUCUGAUGCCUUAAGCUCUGUCAGGCUGGCACUUGCCACUAACCUAGGUCGUGCAAUCCUCGAAGAGUGACUUUAUUACCCCUGUUUUCUUGCUUGAUAGAUCACUGGUUGCAUCUUUCCGAUCAUUACUUGCAGCAGAAAACAAAAUCCGGACUACCCAUUUUGUUAUUUGUUUCUUUUCUUGAAGGGGUUAACUUGAAAAGCUACAUAUGUGAAGCUGACACUGCAUAACGAAUGGUCUUGCCCCCUCUGAGCCACUUCUGUCACCUACAUGCUGCAGAACUAGACAGAGCUAAACCCCGUUGAAAGCGUUUGGAUGAGAACUUCAGGCUAUUUAUUUUUUUCUUUCUGGAUUGGGGUACCUACAAUGUAUAUGCUUUUGUAAACCACCACGAAUGCCCCUGCCCGUACCUGGUUAAUGUGUUGAGAUAGAACUCUGUAAAGAGUUGCUGGCUAAUUGUAAUAAUCAUGUUCUAUAUUU
RNAcentral lists this unclassified non-coding RNA (504 nucleotides) under Hevea brasiliensis (rubber tree). The record is from RNAcentral. Lineage: Eukaryota; Viridiplantae; Streptophyta; Magnoliopsida; Malpighiales; Euphorbiaceae.